CCGGGGUAACUCAGGUGGUUAGAGUAACAAACCAAGUGCAGGUUCGAAUCCUGCUUUCCGACCCA
This 65-nucleotide transfer RNA is filed under the name Pedobacter africanus. Its description in RNAcentral is "tRNA-Ser". Lineage: Bacteria; Pseudomonadati; Bacteroidota; Sphingobacteriia; Sphingobacteriales; Sphingobacteriaceae. The record is from RNAcentral.